UGCAGUGAGACAGCACCACACAGCUCAGUGGUGUUGGCAAACGUGCUGAGGGUGGGCUCCAUCCCUGUCACUGACAGAGGUGUUAAACAGCACCCACCCCUGAGGAACCCCAGCCCUCACUGCUCUCCUCUUGGACAUGGAGCUGUUGAUCACAGCCCUUUGAGGGCAUCCAUCCAGCCAGUUCCUUAUCCACAAGUGAUCAGUCUGUCAAAUUCAUGUCCCUCUAGUUUAAUGACAAGGGUAUUGUGUGGACAGUGUCAAUGCUUUGAGUCAUCAUACUGUUGCAGUAAAUAUUUUAUUUGGCAGUAUAGAUUUCUUAGUUUUAUGAGCUUCUUGCCAGUUAAAUUUGGCAGAUAUAUCUAGAUAUUACUAAUUACUGUUUGAGUAUUGCUGACAUGACUAGUUUAAUUUUUCCAAAAUUUGUUGAAUAUACUGUGGUUUGCAUAGGUCAUAUUGUGCACUGCUCAAGGUUUCUUUUUUCUUUUUAAGUUUCAGUCAGCUGCAAGUGGUUGUAUCUGCAUACUUCAGGACAAUCUGGGCUCUUGUUGAGCUGGAAUCCAUAAACAUAAUUAUGAUGGUGGUGCUGUAGUGUAAUUAGGUUCAUUAACAAUAUAAACAUGGAGUAUUUUAUUCACAGGAGAUUACUAGCAUGUCUUUAAUUGUAUGCCUGUGGUUUGUCUGUUUGGAACUUUUCUUUCAAGUAAUUUGAUUUUUCUUAAAGACUGGGAUUCUAAGUAUGAAAGAUGCAUAUAUAUGUUUCUUCCAAGCAAGUAUGGAGAGACAUGGUAUGUUAUUGUCUGAAGAGAAGGAUUUUUUCCCUCAAAUUUUUUUUUUUUAGAAAGAAUGGUAUUUCAGUUUUGAGAAAUUUUUUGAAAUGUAAAAGCACAGUAUAUAUGUGUUUAGCUUAGUUUAGUAUCUCCUUCUUUUUUUAAACAAAAUUUAAAAAUUCACCAGGUCUUCUCUUGCUCUUGUUUUAAGUCAGUCCUAAUACCUCAGCAUUGUUUCAGUGACUCCUUAUCUUGUUUCCACUGUUGUUACACUUUCAGUUUGCAAACAUUAAAGCAUUAGCUAAAAGAAGCAGAUACUGACUGAAGCAGGCAAAACUCUAGUUUCAAUUAGCAGCAUUAAUUUAUUCCCACAUUGAUUUAAGGUAUCUAUCCCCAUCUAAUAUUCUUGUUUUUAGCUUUUAGCAGGCUGAUGAUUAGAACAUCCUUGCCUGAGGAAAGCUUGAUCUGUCUCCCUCCAGGACUCAUCAAUAACUAUUUAUUUGGAUAGUCCUUAGGGUUUUAAGCAGAGCACCAAAAGUCAUUACUGUCCCUCAGGAUCUGAUUGUGCUGUGGCUGAAAUGAUGCCAGCCUGUGACAGUCAAAGCAUAAGGCCUGUGUUUGGUUAUUGGACAGUUGUAUUCAUACUGCUUUAACUUCUAGGCCAUUUUGAUCAGUCUUGUGACCAUUUUUACUGUCAUUUUUUUUCUCCAUAUUGUGUUGUGCAGUUAUUGAUCAGUGAGGAACUAAGACAUGGCUGUGAUAAUUCUUUGCUGGUUUUAACAUACUUUCGUUUACUUUUUGAUGAAGCUUGUGCUUUCUUGGAUUUUUUUGGUGUUACAGCAGGAAACAGCAGUUGUUCUGUAGCUUUUGGCAGGUGCUCACUGCGUGUGUGCACACCCGAACUGAGCCAAGCUUGUGAAUGUGAGGAUUGCUUGAUUACUGUGGCAGUGCUGCUGCCCUCCUUGGAUCUUUGUAGGCUUGUUAGGGAAUUAGUAUCUGGUAGUACUGGACUUAAUGAUUAAUGAUUUAUGGGUAUAGUAUUUGUUCCCUGUUCUGUUUGCUUUCCUACAGGAAGGUUGAUUUCUUGCACAGAAACAAGUACCUAGAGAGCUGGUGAUAUUUUACACUGUCCCAGCUGUCUUUGAGGUGGAUAGUUGCUGGAUUUCCCGUUGGCAAAUCCUGUAACAGGAUUUUGGUGCUGGUGACAUGACAGGCUUACCCAGAUUCCUUAUGCUUCCCACUGAACUAGAGGGGAUUAAUACCUAUGGUGUGUGGUUCUGUGAGAAGGGCUCACUGCAGCCUCAGUGUUUUACAGCCCAAAUGAGUUGUCCAGCAUUCCUCAGAAGUCCCCUUUGCCCAGAAGGCUUUCCACCACAGUGAGCUGAGUUAGUUCACUGAGGAAUCAGGUAAGUGCCAGAGCCUGAGUGCUGAUGGGAGAAUAACAUUCGUGUUUAGGUUUUAAAACUUCACCUAAGAUUCUCUUGUUACUAUUCUAGGGCAGCCUUAGUGCUUCACCAUUAUUUUGUGUACUUUUUUCUUGUAGUCCUUGCCAUUAUAGCUGCAGUUGGCAAACAUUAUAGCAUUAGUUUAAAGAAAAUGUUGUAAUUGAAAUUUCAGGUUUUAACAGAAAUUCUGGCAUAGAAGAAUAUGAUGAUCUAGAUAGCAGCUCAUUUGUAUUAAGUAAGAAUAUGGUGGAAUGUCUUUCACCAUAUUGAAUAAUCAAAUGCCUAAUAAAGUUCAUGCAUAGUUCCAUCUGAGUUAUUUAUUAAUCCUUCAAUGUCUACCUGCUACGUAGGCAGACACUUUUUCAUCUUAAUUAUUAGAUAGUGUGAACUUCACCUUAACAUACUGCGUGGGUAUUUUGGAUGUAAGGUACAUUAAAAUGAAACAGCGGUAAGAAAAAGUAUGAAAUAUUCUUGAGUACGUGGUUCCCACUCAGGAAUUGCAAAGUCAGCCACUCCUUGAAGGCUGAUGUGGCAAAAGAGCUCACCUACAAAACAGGCUCAUUUGGUCUGAUAGGGCUCUUGUAGAGCCUUAUCACCCUGUUCCUUCCAAUUUGGGGGGAUGAAAGUUGAGACUUCAUUUUUUUUUUUUUUCCUUCUGGAUCCUGGUUGUUUGAUAAGAACAUCAUGAGCAGGACAUUUUAUUGCUUCUCUUGAGAAGUGUCCAGGACAGCUGCUAUCCUUGCAUUUUUAUGUUUUCCGUUUUUACUGUUUCUUUUCAGCAUUAAUUAAUCCAGCAUCUUCCAUUUCACAGAUCAACAACCACAAUCAGUGUGGUAUAAGGCGUUUGAUUUCUUGUCUCAGCAGUUCUUACUGGCAGCAGUGGACCUGUUAGACUUUUAAGGCAUUCUGUUUCUGUUUGAUAAAGUUUUGGCAAUGUAGUCAUUGAUAUUUAAAAAAGAAAUAUGUGACAUUUUAACCCACAAAGAUUACAUGUCCAGCACAUGUGAUGCAUCGCCUCUGUAUUUCUAAAAAGGAGAAUAUGCUAAAGCAAGGCAUUGGCAUUCCUGUUAGAAUUCAUAUGAAGUAAUGAUAUGUUCAGUAUAACAUCCUCCUGAAUGUAUCAUGCAUGGCAAAAACCAGUUAUUUGUGGAAUGAGAAAAGGUGUUGUGAUCUGUAAUCAAUAUAAUGGCUUUUUUAGACCAGUCUUGGAAUGAACAAUUUUUCUACAUUUUAACCAUAGUUUGACAGUAACACUUUCAAGAAAAUAUUUUCUGAGUUGUAAGAGAAAACCCCACCAAAAUACCCUAGAAAAUUAUUUUAUGUGUUUUUGACCAUUUCAAUGAUUUGAGUAUGUCAGCCAGAAGCUGGAGAUCUAAGAACUGUCAGAGACUCAUUUGAAACAUGAAAGUAGCUGUUACAGACCAUAAUAAUGUUUUCAAGUUCACUGUGUCCAAAAUGUUAUGUUUUUAUUGCAGGAAAGGUGUUUAAGCUUUAAAGUUAGAGCAGUACAUAGCUAGAUCAUGCUAGUAUGAAAGGACAUUUGAUCUAAGUUUUAGCAACGGGCUGCCUUGUUGAUAGCUCUUUAUGGGAGUAGAAGAAUAUGUGCAAGUCACUGAGCUUUUGACAAGGUGACUUAGGGUGAUGGCAUUUGCUCUCUCUGAAGCAGUUUAAAAGGAGGGGCCUUCAAGUAACAGUGACUAAAAAUAUUGCAUGAUUGGGUUUCAUUCUGAGACGAAAGGCAACACCUGGCAAAGGAACCCUGUUAGUAUAGUAAAAUGUAAUUUUUACUUAAUCUAAGUAAGUAAAGUUUUACUUUACCUCUAGUAAUUGUUUCAGCUCAAAUGCAUACAGUACCUGUCAUUAUCAAAUAUUCAGUCAUGUAUGUACUCUCAACAUUGUUCAAAGCAGGGUAUCUGUUAAAAAAUGCUGUGUUUCUUUAUCAUAAUUUAUAAUACAGAAUGUUGAAUUAAUCAGGUCAAUAAGACUUGGUUAAGAUGAUGCUGAAAUGUACAUAGAGUGCUAAUGAUUUUCAAUACAGAGUCAUACUGCGCAGAUCAGGAGUACUAGAAGGUUUAUGUGUGUGUAUAUAUAUUUAUUUCAGUAUCAUUGGCCAGAGAAAGGUUAGGAUGAAUCACCCAGCUCACCUGAGUUUUGUUCUUUGUGAGUUCACAAUGAACUAUGUGUAUUUACCCUUUAAGCCAUUUGUACUGUUUGUGUUACUGCAUUUUUCUUAAGGUUCUGUGUAAAAUUCCACAGAGAAGACAUUUCAUAUUGAAAACAUACAAGGCCACAGUUUCACAGGAGGUUUAAGCCUGUGAUUAGUCUUGCCUUAUACCCAGCACUGGUUUCUUCUGUUUAUCUUUAGUGCUGGCACCAGUGCUUGUGUUGUAAUCAGUUAGAUGAAGGUUUGAUGAGCCUGAAAAUUGCCACAGAGAAUGGGAGCAGGUUUUUGUCUGGAUUAGGAAGCUUCAUGGCAUAGUGGUGUGAAAACAAACACAGGCAGGGCAAGUGCCUGGAAAGAAGCAUAAGUCAUUUUCACUGGAAUGAUCAAACUGGAUGCAAGUGAAUUGUACAGAUUUUAAAGUGAUAAUUCUAAUAAAUAUCACUCAAAAGAUACGCUGAAUAACAGCAAAUCCAGGAGCUCAUUACCACUGAAAUAACUUAUCCAUCCUCUGUCCACAUCAGGUUAUGUCUGCAUUUGCACUUACUUUGCAACUGGCCUGUUAUGUUUCAGCCUGUUAGAACGACUUCCAAAAAACGUGACCAAAGGAGUGCUGGAGCUGGUGCAGGGGCAGGGCUGUGUGCCCAUGGCUAUGAGAGAGAGCAGACUGCCUCUGUGACAGCAGCACUGAGCUUGGGUUGACCUCAUAUGUGUGACUGAGCCACAGAUCUACUCUCAUCCCCAGGAAAGGAAAAGGGAAGAACAUUUGAGCUGUUCCUGCUGUCAAAAAUGGGAAGGAAGGGAAGGUGUUGAUUCCUUCUUCUGGUGGUGUUCUGUGUCCUGUCUUGCUUCAGCUGUUUCACUGGUGACUCUUCUGUUCACUGCAUUUAACCUAGGAAGCUUGCAUGCAGUUUUUGAACGAACAGAAAGGAAAUUAUUCUUCAGAUAUGGGCAGUUAAGUGUGUAGAAGUUCUUGGCACAGAAUGUUAAACUUUUAUCAGUUCAAGGAGUGACUGAGUAAGUUUGUAGAAAAAAUACUUCACUGAAGACUGAUAAAUAUAAAGAUUUUAUCUGUGGCCCCUGUAGCAAAUUGUUGCAGAGUGGGCUAGUGUUUGGCUGUUGUCUUGAUCAUUCCUUUACCCUUCCCCAGGUGUCCACUUUCAGCCAAUGUCUGGAGUAGGAUAAUGGGCAAAGUAGAUGGAACUUUGAUGUGACUCAAUGUAACUGCUCUGUUAGCAGAACUCAAAGUAGCUACAUGGAUUCUCAGGAUAAGUUUAAUUUUGAAAAAGAAGUUAUAAUCUGUAAAUGGCAUGAGUAAAUCUAGACUUUUUCUUACUGAACAUUAAUGGACUCCAGUUGGCGCUGAUAAUGUUUGAACUCUUCAGGUAAGAAAAGAUGUUGUUCAGGGUAAGAAUUUGCAACUGUUGAUUAUUGUAUCUCUAUUGUAUCUCAGUUGUGCUGUUUUAUAUUAAAAUUGUAGAAGAUAGGUUAAAUCACAUAUGCAAAGUGAUGAUAUACUCAAUACAUGAAGUAUUGAGAGUUGCAAAUUCAUGCUCUGUUUUUAAAGGCCUUGGUCAGUGUAGGUCCCCAAUUAAAGUCUCAUGUCUGUAGAUAAAUUCAUAUGUGUGGGUUUGGAAGUGAUCAGUAGUAUAUAGUAAAAAUCACAAGCUUGGUGUUCUUUUUCUAGGAAAUAUUUGUAUUAGUUCUUCAUUGUGAAGACUGAUUUGAAAUGUUGAACAAUAAGUUGUUGAAGCCAUUUCAGGUGCUACACUAAAGGCCAUAACUAUUCUCUCUCUAAUGAUUAUUCAGUUGGACAUGCCAUGUACAGAAUAAAAAAGAAAUGAAUUUGUACCUUAUUACAACAUACAUAAGUUGUGAAGGUGUUCUGAAAUGUUUUCUUCCUACUCUCUCUCAGAAAUAUUUUUGAACUCGUCCAGCUCUUUACAUUUUUAAAAUAAAAUUUCUAGUCUGGUAUAUUCUCUGUUUUGCAUGAGUCAGAUGUGCAUUAGUAGUUCUCACUGUUUUAAAUAAAGAGGCAGAAUUGUUGAAUCCUUAUCAAGGCAGACUGAGGUGGAAAGGGUAAAACAGAAUAAAAGUUCACAUCUCAUGUUAAAUCUUAGGUUAAUCAUCUCUAAAGUCAUAAUCACUUAAUUUUUUAACCACCUACAGAAUCUUCUAGCAUAGGUGGUGUUUUAUGUUGAAAGUAAGAGCAAGCAAAGAAAAUAUUUAAAUUCCAGAAGGAAAAUGUACAGGUUUUCAAGCUCCAUAAGGAACUUGCAAAAGGGGGGGUUGUAAUCCUACAUAUUUCUGUAUUCUGAAGUUCUUCUGUUUUAGGGUUUUUUAAGUAAAAAACUGUUAAGUGAGUGCAACAUACUUUUUGAUUACAAUAGCAAUGCAGCUAGAUUAUAUGUGAGAUAGAUGGAGGGUCAUGGGAUUCACACAAAACUGGAAAACCUUUUCAGUAUUUACCUGGUCUUGAGGUUACUUGAUAUAUGCAUGGUAUACAUUUUGCAUGUAUUUUAUAGGAAUAGGAGGGCUGGGAGAAUUAAUGAAGUUAUACAGAAUGAAUGAAGUCAUGACAGUGUUUUGGAGUUCUCCUUUAAGAGAACCAAAGCAAGAAUUUUUCUGUUGCACGAUGAAUACUAAUUCUUGGAAAAUUUCUAUUCUGUUGUCUUUCUAAUUUCCUGAAUCACCUCAGAGCUCAAUGACUUUAGGUUGCAAUUCUGAUUUUAAGUUGCUAAAAAAUUAAGAAUGAAAAAAAUUUAGAUGUUUUCUUCUAGUUUUAAUUCAAGCUUUUACUUCUGUUACAGUUGAGAGAUUUCAAGCUACCCUUAUAGCCUGUUCCUGCAGAUGAAUGGGGUCCAUUUUAAAUCUAAGUAGAUUCAACUAUAGCUUUCCUGUUUUCAUAACUGGUGUACAAAUUCCAUUCUUUGAUUCUUGCAUAUGGUAGCUGACAUCACAUUCAUCUUGUCACUUGUGUGUGUUUCAGAUCUCUGUUUUGAUUUCCCAGCUUAGUUUCACUCUCUCUCACAGAAAUGUGACUAUGGUCUUGCAAGUAACUUCAGUCUCUGUUUGCCAUAGUACUGCCAUACAGUUCUGGUUGCACCCACACACUAAUUUAUUUACUGAAAGCUACAAACCGUUUUCAGUGAUGAAUUGUUUGUCCAGAGCUUUAGCAAUGCUUUAGAAUGCUGAAAAUAACCUUUGUGUAAAAAUGUUAUACCACUGCUUGUUUUGUAGCCAUAGGAAAAGAGAUUUUUAUAAGCUUAGUUGUAAAGUUUUUUAUAGAUGUUAAUAGUGCCUUAUCGACAGCUGAGUUCCCUUUCACCACUGUGUACGUGUAGCACAUGCCUGAAUAUUACACCCACUUGUCCAUAUUCAUGAAUUUAUUUUUUAUUAUCUGUAUGACAGUUCAUGAGCAGUACUGAACAGUGAGAUUGUACUCAGCCAGACCCAUUGGCAACUUUGAAGGCAGGUGAUGUGACUUUGGGUUUAGGGUAUUGUGUAAGUUGUGUGACUCUAGUCUGCAGUUCCUUCCUUCUGAAAGAAGGGAGAAGAAAAAUCCUCAUAAAAACACAGUUUAUUUGUUCUGUUUUGCUAGACUCUCUCACAAUAUUCAAGGUUAUCUUUAGCAUGUUUUUUACACAGACUGUUCUACAGUGCAGUUACAAAGAACCUUCUUUCUUAAUCAGCCUAUUGACUGUCAGGCCCUGCCAGUGAUACUCAGUUUUACAAAAAAAAAGAACUCCUUUGAUUUUGGGGAGAGUGUAAUAUUUUGGCAAGUGACUUAAACUCCAGGCUUUGUUUUGAUGUAAGUGUACAUUUAGUAAUUGUGCCCAUCUCCAGGAAAUGCAAGUGAUCCUGUUUCUUAGGAGAACAUUUUUUUAACCUUAAGUACAAAAUGAGAGCCUGAAUUGGAUGCCUUCAUGUUAUAGUUCUCUACUACAGCAAUUUCCCUCCCCUCAGACUGUAAUCUGAGGGGGCAAAGAAUCCAUAAUACGGGCAGUAGAUCCUUCAAAAGCACCCAGCUUUUUAUGUUCCAAGGUGGCAUCUCCGCUCUUCUACUGAAGCUCGCUGGUUGUGUUGAUAAGGCUGCUGUUAUCUGUAGUGCUCUAACCAUACUGCGGGGCUAGAGAUGGAAUACAAGACUUUGUGGGCACUGUGGAGAGCCGUGAGCCAAGCAUCCCUUCCCGUGCCUUCAGAGUGCACCCCAGGCAGCUGUGCCUGCGUACCUGUGCUCUUCAUUGUGGACCUGCUCAGGCACUACUCACACUUACAGUGCUCUUCCCAAAUUCCUGGGACCCAGUGUGGGAGAGGGCUGUGGAGGUCUCCCCGUGCGGAAAGCCGGUGGAUGUGGGGCAGCAGGAGAUGGAGCUGAGGCGAGGGGCUGGCAGCCAGCCUGCUGGAGAGCUCUGCCUGCAGUGAACACGGAGGUGUUGUUCUGGAGCAGCUGCAUCGAGAAAGUGCUGAAAGGCAUCUCCUGGAGAAGUGAGGUCAGAUCUGUGAGCCUUUAUCUGAUUUAUGUGUUGUCUCUGCAGAAGGAUCAUUGUUACAACUUCAUGUAAAUCCUUUGUCCAUUGUCUGGAUAGAUACAGAAAGAAAGGGUUUCCUGAAAUAACUUUGUAAUUCAAACUGUUAAAAUUACAGAAUGCCUUAUGCUUUUAUUAAAUUAAGUUACUUAGAAAAAGUGAAUGUAUCUUUGGACUUAGAGCUUUUUCCUCAGCUCUAACAAGAACCAACUCACUGUCAGCCUGGAUGAACAACUCUGAGCCUGAACCACUACCAUGAUUUUCAUUCCCAGUAUCAAGAACUUUUGAUUAAGAGAUUGUUGCUUUUCUUAUCUUUAGGCCUUUACAGUUUUAGCACCACUGUGGUGCACUUGCAGGUGAUGGCUGAGACCAAUAAAAAAUGCUGAGUGACUUUAUUUUGCAUUCUGGUGUUCAACUGUCCUUGUAAAGUUUUCAUGAAAUGUUUCUUUAUCCUACCAUUCAGUAUUACAUGUAAUUUUAAAAUUGUAUAAUUAUUUGCAGUGUUUCCAAAUUAUUGUAGAUUAGGUGUGAGAAGUAAAACAGAUAACAGCUUAAGAGCUGUUAGUGUUAUGAGUUAAAGCCUUUUUGAAGUAUGGCCUAUCUGGCAGAAGAGUGUGCCCACAUCUAUAAGCUUUCAAUGUGGAUUACACCUGUAUUCAGACAUGUUUUGAUUUAACUACGGGCUCUAUCCUGGGAGAAUUGAGGGCAGAUUCUGCUGUUUGGAAAGCAGACUUCCAAAGCUGUCACUUGCUGUUCUAUUCAUACACUCCUGCAGCACUAAUUUCUGAACUUUCCUGUCCUUUUUGCAUGUUUAUUUUAGGUGGCUGGUUCUGCAAAACAAGGCCUCAUUUGGUUUGAACUGGUUAUUGAGCUGUAAAAGGGGAACCUGUAAGAGUGUAUUUCUAAGAAAAUACAUUUUUAAAUUACUUGCUUUUCAAUUUUAUUUUUCAUUAUUUUGAUUUAGAGGAAAAAUGUGGAAGAGCACAUUGUUCAUAGCCACAUUUUCAUUUUGACCUUAAGCAUUUAACUUCUUGCAGAGGAGUUUGUCCAGUCUUUGUAGUCACUAUUGCAGCAGCAUAGUUAAUGAUGCAAUCAUUACAUGCCCUUUUAUUUUGAUUUACAGUAAUUUUUAGCUUGUAGAAGAUGAAUUUACUAGUUUUAUUUAUGAUCAAGCAAUUUUGCAGUUAAAAAAAUUCUGUGAAGUUUUAGGUUGAGCAAAUUAUUGUGGGUCAUUUGGGCAUAGUUCCUAAUUGUUAAUCUACCUCAGGUGGAAGAAAGAAGCAGGCAGAAGAGCUGUGAUUUAUUAUCAGCCAUAGGCUAAAUAAAAUUACCUUGUUUCAAAUGCCUGUGCUUUUCAGGUAGAUUGCUUGGUAAAUCUGGGUGUUUUAACAAGAGUUUUAGCAGUUUAGGCACUCUGUUCAUUUUUAGAAUAGGUCUUUCCCAGUUGCAAAUUACUUCCCCCUAGUGAAUUUCUUCUAGUGUCUUUCAAAGAGCAAUGCAAUUUAAGUUGAAAAAACAAAAUGUCCAUGUAUUGCUGCCAUUGUAGGGAUUUCUCUUCAAUCUGUAUCCAUAAACAUUUUUUAGGUAUGGAAUCAUAUGCUCAGUUAUUUAGCCUUGCAGAACUGUUAGAAGCUGAGGAAAAUAAAAUGUAGCAACUUAUUUCACGUAUGUUGUCACACCGAUAUUCUCUGCUUUAUUAAAAAAAAAAAAUGGCUUUUUAAAAAAAACCCAAAAAAAUAGCUACUGCUUCACUUGUUUCUUUCCUAGCUCCUUCACCACUGGGCAUGGAGUCAGGACAGUCUGCAGCUGCCUUUCAGGUGAUGAACUCAGUUUGCAGUGCAUGUGUGAGUGGGAGAAUGCUGCAGUUUGAGCUUUCUCUGAGGUGUAGUCACAUGUAGCACUAAGAGUACAUGCAUCCUGAUUCUCAUUUUCUCUAAAGAAUUAAAAACUCAACUCAAAAAGCAUUAAACAAUAGUAAGUAGAGCAUGAGAAGUAGCACUGCAACAAACAAGUAUUUCUACUUUUUCCUUCAGAACCAUUCCUGUACAGACAUGCAGCCUGACUUCUGCAAUUGAGUUUUACAAGAAAAUCCUUCCUAAGCCAGAUAGUUUACAAUUGACAGAUAAUCUAAAGAAAAUUUGCAUUUAUCUCAAACAUGUUUUCAGAUAGUUUUGUGUUUCUUAGAGGAUGUCUGGAAUAAAGUCUCACACUAUGAUUCCCAAGGUCCUCACCCCCAGUAUCUGUGUGCCCCGAAAUUGUAGAUUUUUUUUGUAAGGAGCAAAUAAUACUCUUUAUUUCACUGUGGAGUCUACAUAUGUUUUGCACUGCACAUUGAUUACAAUGCAAAUUAUGGCCCUAUUCUUUAAAAACUGUAACAGAAGUUUUGCUCACAUUGUUUCUGGUUCCUGAGAAUUCCCUCAACCUGAACAAAAUUUUGCUACAAAAUUUUGUCAUCUACAGAGUCAGUAUGAUUAUAUUUUGCUUUCAUUAUAUCUGACAGAGCUGUGCUAAAGCACAUCUGGAGCUUAGAAAUUGUGUGAUGGCUGUGUAUCAAAUCUGUUUUUUGAAAAGGUAAAAAAAAACCUCUCAAAAUUGCAUAUUUUUUGAGGCAUAUGUGUUGGUGUUGUGCUUGCAUGUUCCUUUGCUUGUGUAUAUGUGUAUUCUUGACAUUCUCAUUUUGUUGCAGUACCCAGAGUGAUACUGCAUCCUGGUCCUUCCUUUACAUACAGGGUUGAGGGUUUUAGGGACCCUGUUUUGCAAAUUAGUUUUUCAUAGGCCCUUUACCAGGCUAUACUUUGCAAAAGGGGAGAGGCAGUGCUUAAUUUUUGUCUACUCCUGACGUUUUAUGAGGAAGAUUGUGGUUUACUUUCAUGGGGAUGGUGUAUCGCUUAACUGAAUAAUAAAUACAGUUACCAGAGAUAAAUGCCUGAAAUAAAUGGCAAAAAAGGAAGAGCAGAGGCUGAAGGAGCAAAACAAUGUAGGGUUUUUUUGCCUCACAACUGAAGUAAAAUCUUUGUACCUACACACUUCUCUUGCUGUCAUUGCUACUCUUAAACCAAAAGCCUUUUUAUUAGUGGAGGCUGUGGUACCUGCAGUUCCAGUCACAGUUCAAAACCAGGCAAGAAAACGUGAGCUAAGUCACAUUUCUGACAUCUGUUUUCCUUUAAUUGAUCGAAACAUUUAGCAGAGUCAGAAAAUUUACAGGAAAUAAAUGAAUGUAUCUUCCUGUUUAUAUCUUAUGACUGUUUUCUGCUUUUGCCGGGCUGGUCAGCUGAAGGCUCUGUGUGGAGAGGCAGGAGUGAGCAAAGCCUUGAAGAUCAGCAGGGAAGUAUUCCUUCACCUGUCUUUGGCCUAACUUACAUUGGCAUUUUAUUCUACAGGU
Molecule: non-coding RNA, 12284 nt
Organism: Taeniopygia guttata (zebra finch)
Lineage: Eukaryota; Metazoa; Chordata; Aves; Passeriformes; Estrildidae
Source: RefSeq, a predicted model, not a curated record